RNAcentral lists this ribosomal RNA (39 nucleotides) under Nuphar lutea. Its description in RNAcentral is "partial 18S ribosomal RNA". Lineage: Eukaryota; Viridiplantae; Streptophyta; Magnoliopsida; Nymphaeales; Nymphaeaceae. The record is from RNAcentral.
GACGUCGCGAAAAGUUCAUUGAACCUUAUCAUUUAGAGG